CGUAGCGAAAGUUACGCUAAUACCGCAUACGAUCUAAGGAUGAAAGCGGGGGAUCGCAAGACCUCGCGCGAUUGGAGCGGCCGAUAUCAGAUUAGGUAGUUGGUGGGGUAAAGGCUCACCAAGCCAACGAUCUGUAGCUGGUCUGAGAGGACGACCAGCCACACUGGAACUGAGACACGGUCCAGACUCCUACGGGAGGCAGCAGUGGGGAAUUUUGGACAAUGGGCGCAAGCCUGAUCCAGCAAUGCCGCGUGCAGGAUGAAGGCCUUCGGGUUGUAAACUGCUUUUGUACGGAACGAAAAGGUCCUGGUUAAUACCCGGGGCUCAUGACGGUACCGUAAGAAUAAGCACCGGCUAACUACGUGCCAGCAGCCGCGGUAAUACGUAGGGUGCAAGCGUUAAUCGGAAUUACUGGGCGUAAAGCGUGCGCAGGCGGUUAUAUAAGACAGAUGUGAAAUCCCCGGGCUCAACCUGGGAACUGCAUUUGUGACUGUAUAGCUAGAGUGCGGCAGAGGGGGAUGGAAUUCCGCGUGUAGCAGUGAAAUGCGUAGAUAUGCGGAGGAACACCGAUGGCGAAGGCAAUCCCCUGGGCCUGCACUGACGCUCAUGCACGAAAGCGUGGGGAGCAAACAGGAUUAGAUACCCUGGUAGUCCACGCCCUAAACGAUGUCAACUGGUUG
RNAcentral lists this ribosomal RNA (680 nucleotides) under uncultured Limnohabitans sp. RNAcentral describes it as "bacterial SSU rRNA". It matches the Rfam family "Bacterial small subunit ribosomal RNA", at positions 147 to 822 of the family's 1533-position model. Lineage: Bacteria; Pseudomonadati; Pseudomonadota; Betaproteobacteria; Burkholderiales; Comamonadaceae. The record is from RNAcentral.